Molecule: ribosomal RNA, 904 nt
Filed under: Staphylococcus sp. ChF-II-str77
Lineage: Bacteria; Bacillati; Bacillota; Bacilli; Caryophanales; Staphylococcaceae
Description: bacterial SSU rRNA
Rfam family: Bacterial small subunit ribosomal RNA
Source: RNAcentral
GAGGUAUCAGGAGCUUGCUCCUUUGACGUUAGCGGCGGACGGGUGAGUAACACGUGGAUAACCUACCUAUAAGACUGGGAUAACUUCGGGAAACCGGAGCUAAUACCGGAUAACAUAUUGAACCGCAUGGUUCAAUAGUGAAAGGCGGCUUUGCUGUCACUUAUAGAUGGAUCCGCGCCGUAUUAGCUAGUUGGUAAGGUAACGGCUUACCAAGGCAACGAUACGUAGCCGACCUGAGAGGGUGAUCGGCCACACUGGAACUGAGACACGGUCCAGACUCCUACGGGAGGCAGCAGUAGGGAAUCUUCCGCAAUGGGCGAAAGCCUGACGGAGCAACGCCGCGUGAGUGAUGAAGGUCUUCGGAUCGUAAAACUCUGUUAUCAGGGAAGAACAAAUGUGUAAGUAACUGUGCACAUCUUGACGGUACCUGAUCAGAAAGCCACGGCUAACUACGUGCCAGCAGCCGCGGUAAUACGUAGGUGGCAAGCGUUAUCCGGAAUUAUUGGGCGUAAAGCGCGCGUAGGCGGUUUUUUAAGUCUGAUGUGAAAGCCCACGGCUCAACCGUGGAGGGUCAUUGGAAACUGGAAAACUUGAGUGCAGAAGAGGAAAGUGGAAUUCCAUGUGUAGCGGUGAAAUGCGCAGAGAUAUGGAGGAACACCAGUGGCGAAGGCGACUUUCUGGUCUGUAACUGACGCUGAUGUGCGAAAGCGUGGGGAUCAAACAGGAUUAGAUACCCUGGUAGUCCACGCCGUAAACGAUGAGUGCUAAGUGUUAGGGGGUUUCCGCCCCUUAGUGCUGCAGCUAACGCAUUAAGCACUCCGCCUGGGGAGUACGACCGCAAGGUUGAAACUCAAAGGAAUUGACGGGGACCCGCACAAGCGGUGGAGCAUGUGGUUUUAAUUCG